This is a long non-coding RNA of Sapajus apella (tufted capuchin), 1718 nucleotides long. RefSeq lists it as uncharacterized. The record is from RefSeq and is a predicted model, not a curated record. The transcript is spliced from 3 exons. Lineage: Eukaryota; Metazoa; Chordata; Mammalia; Primates; Cebidae.
UGAAUUUUGUAAAAUGUGUUUUCUACCUCAAUUAAAAUGAUUAUGUGUUGCUUUUCUUUAUUCUAUUAAUGUGGCUUAAUACAGUGAUUGAUUUUCACAUGUUUAACCAUCCUUGCAUUCCAGGAAUAAAUCACACUUGGUCAUGAUGUGGAAACCUUUUAAUAUACUGCUGAUUUUAGUUUGCUAGUAAUUUGUUGAGAAUCUUUCUAUCAAUUUUCAGAAGUGAUACUGGUUGGUAGUUUUAUUUUCUUGUAUAGUCACCUGCCCUUAUCUGUAGUUUUACUUUUUAUAGUUUCAGUUGCCCACGGUCAACCGAAAAAAAGAUCUGUCUAUGGGUUUAAUUAUGGUUUAAUGGGAAAACAGAAGUGAUUGACGAGUUUGUGUGUCCAUCAGAUUGCGGGGACCUGGAAAACACCAGCCUUGUUUUCCGGUCUACUGGGAGACACUUUGUCUCUUGGAAAGUGGUUAGGAUGAACAUGCAUCAAGGCCCUGCCACAGAGCUUCCACAAAGGAAAGUCACUCUGGGGCAACCCAGAGCAGUCGACAGGACCAGAGACUGACAGGAGUGAUUCUGAACAGUCCAGUCAAGGUAGGGUCUGCCCUCACGGUUUCCUACAGAAAUAACUGCAUGUUUGGCAGAAGGCCCUAUUUCUCGCCCUGGGCUACCUCUUCAAUUGAGGCUUUCAUGAAAGACCAUAUACUAUUUCAGGUUGCCAAGAGUUUGGGUUAUUGUGCUAGUUGUCAGGAAAGGCUAGGCUAGCUCACGUGCUGUGAGCUAGUCCAAACCUUAUUACCUGGUCUGUGAAGGGAGGCCAGUUGAAAAUAUUAUAUAUAAUAAGAUAUUUUGAAAGAGAGAGAGAGACCAUAUUCAUAUAGCUUUUAUUAAAGUAUAUUUUUAUAAUUGUUCGUAUUAUUAAUUUUUACUGUGCUUAGUCUAUAAAUUGAACUUUAUCAUAGAUAUGUAGGUAUAGGAAAAAGCAUAUUAGGAUUCAGUACUCUCCAUGGUUUCAGGUAUCCACUGGGGUCUUGGAAUGUAUUUCCUGAGCAUAAGAGGGGACUGCUGUAGUGUUCGAAAUGUUCCUUUCCCUUUAACUCUUUUGGAAGCCUGAGGGGAUUUUUCUCCAGUAUUUACUGUGAGACUGUGGUUGAGCUCUUGGAUGUAAAAUCUGUAAAGGUAUGGGGUCUUACCUAUAACUGGGUCCCCUGCAAGUUUUUAAUUCUCAGACUUGACCACCACUUAGCCUCCAGCAAUUUGUCAGUUGCUCAGAUUUUUCUGUCUCAGCACUGGUUCCCGUGGCAGUUUCUCCUUGUGAAUCUUGGAACUUGUAGCCAUGGCUCCCUCUAUUUGUUUGUCUCUCCAAUUUGGGGGUCAGUGGUUUGCUUGGUGUCCUUACCUGUCUUUUGGAUCCUAGAAGAACUGUUGGUUUUUCAGUGUCUUCAGCUUUUUAUUUGUUGUUAGGAUAGAAGGGGAUUUCCAAGCUCCUUACUUGUGGAAUGGGAAACCUGUCGCCCUGUCUUAAAAGGGAAAUUGAUAGAAUAUACUCAAGGGAUAUUCUUGAGUAUAUUCUUGGUGCUCAGGGCACUUGAAACAGUGCUAUCUGAGGUUGAAAGGUUCAUUUGAACCAGAGUUGAGGAAAGGACUACUUCGGAAAGCCGUGAAGCUUUGUUAUUGUUUGACUGGGGUUUGUUGUUGUUUGUUUUGCGGUGUGCGUGUGUGU